Molecule: ribosomal RNA, 497 nt
Filed under: uncultured bacterium
Lineage: Bacteria
Description: partial 16S ribosomal RNA
Rfam family: Bacterial small subunit ribosomal RNA
Source: RNAcentral
GAUGAACGCUGGCGGCGUGCCUAAUACAUGCAAGUCGAGCGAACAGAUGAGGAGCUUGCUCCUCUGACGUUAGCGGCGGACGGGUGAGUAACACGUGGAUAACCUACCUAUAGGACUGGGAUAACUUCGGGAAACCGGAGCUAAUACCGGAUAAUAUAUUGAACCGCAUGGUUCAAUAGUGAAAGACGGUUUUGCUGUCACUUAUAGAUGGAUCCGCGCCGCAUUAGCUAGUUGGUAAGGUAACGGCUUACCAAGGCAACGAUGCGUAGCCGACCUGAGAGGGUGAUCGGCCACACUGGAACUGAGACACGGUCCAGACUCCUACGGGAGGCAGCAGUAGGGAAUCUUCCGCAAUGGGCGAAAGCCUGACGGAGCAACACCGCGUGAGUGAUGAAGGUCUUCGGAUCGUAAAACUCUGUUAUUAGGGAAGAACAAAUGUGUAAGUAACUAUGCACGUCUUGACGGUACCUAAUCAGAAAGCCACGGCUAACUACGUG